Long non-coding RNA from Brassica napus (rape), 1220 nucleotides. RefSeq lists it as uncharacterized. The record is from RefSeq and is a predicted model, not a curated record. Lineage: Eukaryota; Viridiplantae; Streptophyta; Magnoliopsida; Brassicales; Brassicaceae. The transcript has 3 exons.
GUUCUGUAUCUGGCCUUUGGACUGUCGAUCUUAGUUUUGUAGCCGGUUUGAACGAACAGAAGAAGCCUCUAACCCUAAUCAGCUUCAGAAGAGAAACAAAUGCCGUAUCUCCACAUCUUUCGACGGCGACUCGAUGUCGUUUCUGCUUUCUAUCACCAUCUGAAACAGUCCGAGUUAAGAGUUCAUGUUUAAUCCCAUCGAUUCAGUGUGCCCAGAACUUCCUCCUUUCUUCACUAUAACCACAAGAAGAAACAAGAUACAAGAAUCUAAGUUAGAGAAGCUUUGCAAUUUGUUCUACAACAAAUUGUCUGAGUGUUGUUUUAUGCUCAAGCCAACCAUCCUAACCAGAAGUUAUUGGCCGUGGAUGUGAAGCCUGAGUUGAUGUCACUACCAGGAAUAACCCCAAAAGUUCAUGGGAGGCUGGAUUUUCCUAAAUGCAAUUUCUGACGCACAUAUAUACUUACUUUGACAAAGAAACAAGUGACAGUGACGCCUGCAACUGCUCAGAUGGUGAGAAAGUAGCUAUUGACCAGAUUAUCGGAGGUGAUGACAUCCUCUCAAACCACCCUGGGGUAUGGGAUGCAACAGCCGCUGCUGAGCAGCCCACUUCUGGGGGAAGCAAUGCAGACGAACAUCUGGUUCCAGUAGGAGGAAACACACUAAAAAGCACAUAUCUCCAGUUGUUGUUAUGCUUUCGUAAAUGAACACCCUCUCUUUGUCCUCUUGAUCUGCUGUUCUGAGUACUCUUGAGCUGAUCUGAGUUUCUUUUGUUUAUUUAGACCAGUUGAAGUCGAGUUCUUCUGAUGGUAAAAUCAGGAACCUAGGGAGAGUGAGAAACUACAUUGCCUUAUACCAGCACCUAUAGCAUAUGUUACACAUCUCUCUUGGCCCAAGAGUAUAGAUUAUGUGCCUUAUGCUAAUGCCCCGUAGAAGGCUAUUCAGAAAUGGAUUUAGUAUGAGAUGGACGUUUUUAGAUUCCUUGGUGGUGGAACUCAUUUCCCUUAAGGUGGUAGGACUGCUUUGGACAAUGGUUGUGAGGUUAUGUCUUAUGUUUGCUUCUGUUUAUAUUCUUUGAGUCUCAUAUUCUUCAUUAGUGACGUUGUGGGAUUAUAUGUUUGUAGUUACUUUAUUUCGGUUUCACCACACGUGAAUUACCUGCUGAGAAGAUGUAUUUGGCUUUAAAAGUAGUUCUAUUACGAUAAUGAUUAUAUGUUUGAAUA